UACGGGGGGGGCAAGCGUUGUUCGGAAUUACUGGGCGUAAAGGGCUCGUAGGCGGCCAACUAAGUCAGACGUGAGAUCCCUCGGCUUAACCGGGGAACUGCGUCUGAUACUGGAUGGCUUGAGAUUGGGAGAGGGAUGCGGAAUUCCAGGUGUAGCGGUGAAAUGCGUAGAUAUCUGGAGGAACACCGGUGGCGAAGGCGACAUCCUGGACCAACACUGACGCUGAGGAGCGAAAGCCAGGGGAGCAAACGGG
RNAcentral lists this ribosomal RNA (253 nucleotides) under uncultured bacterium. RNAcentral describes it as "partial 16S ribosomal RNA". It matches the Rfam family "Bacterial small subunit ribosomal RNA", at positions 524 to 776 of the family's 1533-position model. The record is from RNAcentral.